This 253-nucleotide ribosomal RNA is filed under the name uncultured bacterium. RNAcentral describes it as "partial 16S ribosomal RNA". It matches the Rfam family "Bacterial small subunit ribosomal RNA", at positions 524 to 776 of the family's 1533-position model. The record is from RNAcentral.
UACGGGGGGAGCAAGCGUUGUUCGGAUUUACUGGGCGUAAAGGGCGCGUAGGCGGCGCAACAAGUCACUUGUGAAAUCUCCGAGCUUAACUCGGAACGGUCAACUGAUACUGUGCGGCUAGAGUGCGGAAGGGGCAACUGGAAUUCUUGGUGUAGCGGUGAAAUGCGUAGAUAUCAAGAGGAACACCUGCGGCGAAGGCGGGUUGCUGGGCCGACACUGACGCUGAGGCGCGAAAGCUAGGGGAGCGAACGGG